RNAcentral lists this long non-coding RNA (734 nucleotides) under Ursus maritimus (polar bear). Its description in RNAcentral is "lncRNA (ENSUMAG00000008997.1)". Lineage: Eukaryota; Metazoa; Chordata; Mammalia; Carnivora; Ursidae. The record is from RNAcentral.
GCCCUGCGGACGCCCGCUGGCGCGGAGCAGUGGCUGCUGCUGUCGUCCCUGUCUCGUUUUCUAUAGGGAGCUCCCACCCGGUCCUGGGCAGGGGUGGGGCUCUGAGGGACCGGGUGGAGGGGCGAGUCGAUUGCCUCGGCGCCGGAAGAAGCUUCUAGUUAGGAUGUUUCCCGGAUAAGUACUGUCUGGCAAUUCCGCAGCCUCACCAGAACUGAGGGGAGCCAUAUUGUCCCUCUCUGUCUCCCAGUUUGUAUCGUUGUCUCCAUCUGUGCCGGUGUAUUAUCAUUGUCUGGUGCUUUUUUUUUUUUUUUUUUUUAGUUCCCUGCCUGCCAGGGUCCUAGAUUCCAUCCUCGGUUUACUUGUCCUCAUUGCCCCAGACCCGGGGAAUGCUCAGGAAGGCUGCGCGGUAUUGGAGGGACAGAAUGACCUUCCAGCCCUGAGUCCCUGAACAAGUUUCCAUCUCAUUCCACAAAGGAUUUAAGGAGUGUGACCUAACUCAAACACAGCUGCUUCUAUGGAACUGACUUCCGCAAUUGACAACUGUGUGAACUUGGGCAAGAUUUACUUAUUUGGGGCACCUGGGUGGCUCAGUCGGUUAGGCGCCUGCCUUUGGCUUGGGUCAGGACCCCAGGUCCUGGGAUCCAGCCCCAUGUGAGGCUCUCGGCUCAGUGGAGAGCCUGCUUCUCCUUCUCCCUCUGCCUGCUGCUGCCCCUGCUUGUGCUCUCUCUCACUCU